This 253-nucleotide ribosomal RNA is filed under the name uncultured bacterium. RNAcentral describes it as "partial 16S ribosomal RNA". It matches the Rfam family "Bacterial small subunit ribosomal RNA", at positions 524 to 776 of the family's 1533-position model. The record is from RNAcentral.
UACGUAGGCAGCGAGCGUUGUUCGGAAUUACUGGGCGUAAAGAGUGUGUAGGCGGUGCUCUAAGUUCGGUGUGAAAUCUCCUGGCUUAACUGGGAGGGUGCGCCGGAAACUGGAGCGCUCGAGCGUGGGAGAGGAAAGCGGAAUUCCUGGUGUAGCGGUGAAAUGCGUAGAUAUCAGGAGGAACACCUGCGGUGUAGACGGCUUUCUGGACCAUUGCUGACGCUGAGACACGAAAGCGUGGGUAGCAAACAGG